UGGGGAAUUUUGCACAAUGGGCGCAAGCCUGAUGCAGCGACGCCGCGUGAGGGAUGAAGGCCUUCGGGUUGUAAACCUUUUUCGCUCAUGGUCAAGCCGCAGCUUUGGGUUGUGGUGAGGGUAGUGGGUAAAGAAGCGCCGGCUAACUACGUGCCAGCAGCCGCGGUAAUACGUAGGGCGCGAGCGUUGUCCGGAAUUAUUGGGCGUAAAGAGCUCGUAGGCGGUUUGUCGCGUCUGCUGUGAAAGACCGGGGCUUAACUCCGGGGCUGCAGUGGGUACGGGCAGGCUGGAGUGCGGUAGGGGUAACCGGAAUUCCUGGUGUAGCGGUGGAAUGCGCAGAUAUCAGGAGGAACACCGAUGGCGAAGGCAGGUUACUGGGCCGUUACUGACGCUGAGGAGCGAAAGCAUGGGGAGCGAACAGG
This 422-nucleotide ribosomal RNA is filed under the name Verrucomicrobiota bacterium. RNAcentral describes it as "Verrucomicrobia bacterium partial 16S ribosomal RNA". It matches the Rfam family "Bacterial small subunit ribosomal RNA", at positions 355 to 776 of the family's 1533-position model. The record is from RNAcentral. Lineage: Bacteria; Pseudomonadati; Verrucomicrobiota.